UUUCGGACGGGUGAGUAACGCGUGAGAAUCUAGCUCUAGGUCGGGGACAACCACUGGAAACGGUGGCUAAUACCGGAUGUGCCGAAAGGUGAAAGAUUUAUUGCCUAGAGAUGAGCUCGCGUCUGAUUAGCUAGUUGGUGUGGUAAGAGCGCACCAAGGCGACGAUCAGUAGCUGGUCUGAGAGGAUGAUCAGCCACACUGGGACUGAGACACGGCCCAGACUCCUACGGGAGGCAGCAGUGGGGAAUUUUCCGCAAUGGGCGAAAGCCUGACGGAGCAAUACCGCGUGAGGGAGGAAGGCUCUUGGGUUGUAAACCUCUUUUCUCAGGGAAUAAGAAAGUGAAGGUACCUGAGGAAUAAGCAUCGGCUAACUCCGUGCCAGCAGCCGCGGUAAUACGGAGGAUGCAAGCGUUAUCCGGAAUGAUUGGGCGUAAAGCGUCCGCAGGUGGCACUGUAAGUCUGCUGUUAAAGAGCAAGGCUCAACCUUGUAAAGGCAGUGGAAACUACAGAGCUAGAGUACGUUCGGGGCAGAGGGAAUUCCUGGUGUAGCGGUGAAAUGCGUAGAGAUCAGGAAGAACACCGGUGGCGAAAGCGCUCUGCUAGGCCGUAACUGACACUGAGGGACGAAAGCUAGGGGAGCGAAUGGGAUUAGAUACCCCUGUAGUCCAGAAAA
Molecule: ribosomal RNA, 673 nt
Filed under: Nostoc sp. IPPAS B-1212
Lineage: Bacteria; Bacillati; Cyanobacteriota; Cyanophyceae; Nostocales; Nostocaceae
Also listed under: 1 other name
Description: bacterial SSU rRNA
Rfam family: Bacterial small subunit ribosomal RNA
Source: RNAcentral